Long non-coding RNA from Gallus gallus (chicken), 2619 nucleotides. RefSeq lists it as uncharacterized. The record is from RefSeq and is a predicted model, not a curated record. The transcript has 3 exons. NCBI's taxonomy places the organism in Eukaryota, Metazoa, Chordata, Aves, Galliformes, Phasianidae.
CAGGUUACCCAGGGAGGUGGAUGCUUGAUCCCUGGAGACCCUCAAGGUCAGGAUGGAUGGGGCGCUGAGCACCUAAUGGAGCUGUAGGUGUCCCUAUUCAUUGCAGAGGACCAUAUAGCUUUUAAAGGUCCCUUCCAACUCAAAUGCUUCUAUGAUGAUUCUAAGGUUGUAUGAAUUUAUGUCCACUGUUGGUAAUGAAGUACAGAGUAAUCAUUACACAGUUGAAGCCUUCUCCAAUGUCAAUAAUGGCAUUAUGUCUGAGAUAGAAGCUUUCAUUCAUCUUAAAAACAAACAAAUAAUUAAAAAAAACCCCAAACAACAAAAAAAUAGAUAAUGUAUGUGGGAGAGAGAUCUAGAAUGUUGCAUUCUGGGAACUGUGGUUCUGGCUGGCAAAGAAGUUGCAUAAAAACGGAAGGGUAGCUACAAAGGGAGUUAUAGCAAGUGCAGUCACUUGGAGUUGCCCUGGUUACUCUGAGAAUUUUUUGGCUAGGUAAUAUAUAUAUAUAUGAAGUCAAUGGGACAAAAAUCAUACAUUCAGAGAUUUGAGUGCUUCAUUUCCCUUCACCUUACAGGUGGCUCUCUAAAACCGAUGGAAUUAAAUAGUUUACUUCCCUGGCUGGACAAGAGGGAAAAAAAUCACAGUGGUUUUGACAUUAUAUAUUUUGGACAGAUUAGAAAAUACUCUGCUAAUUAGGGGAAUUCCAGGCAUGUGCAGGAAGCGUAUUUCAAUAGCCCAUGAUUAUGUUGGGUUUCGUGUAAAGCUAUUUGUUUGGCUGCCAAAGUGUUUUAUGGUGUGAUGCCAACUAUAAUAUAUUCAGAACACAGGCUAAAAAGACUCCAAACUUUAAUGCUUGAUGAGUUCAUGGGAUGGGAACACAAAGACAUAGAACCUUGAAAACCUCAACCUGAAUAAUUAAAGUAAAUAGACAGACUGUUCUGUAUUGUGAUUAAAAUGUAAGUAACUUUUGGGCAUUGCAUAGCUAUCUAGAAAUUCAAAACUUUUUAAAACAAAAGCAUGUAUUACAGUACUCUAUUAUCUAACUAUAGCACUACACAAUUCAUUAUGAGCUAACUUGAUUGCCUUUAUGGAAUGAACACGCUACCAUCCCAACACAUUUCCAGCCUCAGAGAAAUACUGGCAUCCUUUGAAAAUACACUGAAAUAAAAGUCUCCUGCAUGUUAAAUUUUUCAAGAAAAUCCUUAAUAGUUCAUAGAGGUGGUGUAAAUAAUAUAUCAAGUUAUAUUUUGGGUAUAUUAUGUGUGUUUAGAGGUAUAAAGCAGAGUUUUACAAGUACCCAAACCUCUAAGUUCAUACUUGAAGUGGUAAUGGGAACUAUGCCAGAAUAUCCAAAACUCCUAAGAAGGUGUGAGAUUUUGACAAAUAUUUCUAAAAAAAACAACCCAGAAAGGUGAAAAAAUAAGAAGAGUGAGACAAUACAGUGCAUUGUUUCUGGAUGCUGAAAGAACAAGGUGUGCAAUAAGCAACAUGCCUGUGACUUCCAGCAAUGGAGCUGGCAUUUCUAAAACCGCAGGUGACAGGUAAGGACUGGCCGAAGCCAAAGCCUGGCAUUGCUGUUUCAAGUCCUAGUUUUAAUACACUUGGAAACAAUUUGGGGCAGAACCAGCAGGCCUGGCUGUGAUUGCUAUCACAGCCUUCCAGGUUGGGUGCACCUGGGUGAACGCACCUUUCUGAGCCCUGUGCCAGGAGCUGCACCCUUCUCACUCCAGCAGGCAGCCUGGAAAGCUGCAGGGCGAGCUGCAAGGAGGAACAGGGCUGCUGAUAAGAGGUGAAUUCUUCCAUGCUCUGGUUUUGGAAGCUGGAAUGGAGAUGGCUGCCAGGUCUGCAUGGCAGGCUUCCUUUCCUGGCCCUUCCCAGGGAUGGUUGAAAUAGCCUUUGCCCUGGGGUGGGAGGGAUCUCCCAUGUGCCUUGGCCAGCUCAGCACUCCAGGCACAUGCCAGAAAUAAAAGACUGCAACAGCAUAUGCACCCCUGCUCUCCCUCAAGGCCUGGAGUAAUGAAUGUGGCUGGGGAAAGAAGGUGUGGCGUCAGCCAGCAGCUAAAUUAAGUAAAUGGGAGCUGGAAAUACACGGAGUCACUCACAGGAGUCAGUCACAGGCUGCUUUGUGGCGUGCACCGGGGGAUGGAUUUGACACCAACCAGAGCCAAAUCUGGCGUGUCUUCUAACAGUCAACUCAGGCGAUUUACAUCAGGAGGUGCCUAGAAAUUCUUAUGGAGGUCAUCAUUGUUGGAAGAAUGUCAGCAAAAAUGCCCAUAUAUCAGCUUUUCCUGGAGAUUUUCAAGAAAAGGGUGCAUGUCAUGCUUGAGGGGAACACUAGCAGGCUCGGUGUUGGGACUUGCCCCAAACAGCAGCAGAGGUAGCUUCACCGAAAAUCAACAGGAGCUUAUCUGUACUACGGGUCUUUUCUGGAACGUCAAAGUAACAUCUUAAGUUCAGAAGCCCUUAAUGAACGCACCAGACCAAAUGCUGCUUCAGAAUAUGUAUGCGCGGCUCCUAUUGAAGUCCGUGGGCACUCUGCCCACAUUUGAGAUAAGAAUCUGGCUUGUAGCAAAGCUUAAAGAAGUAUGCACUGUUUUAAUGGACUGUUGCAUAUGACAGAA